AUGAGGACAAGGACGAGAGGAGGAGGACGAGGAGGAGAGGAGGAGGAGGACAAGGAGGAGGAGGAGGAGGAGGAGGAGGAGGAAGCAGGAGAAGGACCUUUGGUAUUAUCACAAACCUUGUUCUCUGCAGGGCUGCAUUGCAAAGCACCACAGUACAAUAAGCCCACCAGAGGAACAGGUUCUCCUAAUCGCGGGAGGACUGUGAGGGCUCCCAGUCAAACGCUGAGUUUCACCCUGUGCCGAAAGCUGGAGAGGUGCAGAGUCAUGUAAUAGCAAGCAGAGCUCUCCCUAACUAAGAAAUCUGCUGAUGAACAAAAUCUGGAUUUCAUCCCUAAGUCAACGCAACUGCUCCAACAACUUGAAUUUGGCUAGUGGGGAGGGACGUGAAUUGGUCCCAUGUCUCCAGACUUGCUUUGCUUGGCCUUGGACCUUUGUGGCUGGCAGAAAGGCAAAAGGUAAACACAGAAAAUGUCUUCACCAGAAUUAGCAGCUUCCACGGUAAGUAUUUCUUUGGGGUAUCUGGGUUGCAGCUGUACAUUACUGUAUGUAGGAGAGAAAAGUUAAAAC
RNAcentral lists this long non-coding RNA (567 nucleotides) under Apteryx owenii (little spotted kiwi). RNAcentral's name for it is "lncRNA (ENSAOWG00000008409.1)". Lineage: Eukaryota; Metazoa; Chordata; Aves; Apterygiformes; Apterygidae. The record is from RNAcentral.